UACGUAGGGUGCAAGCGUUGUCCGGAAUUAUUGGGCGUAAAGAGCUCGUAGGCGGUCUGUCGCGUCUGCUGUGAAAACCUGGGGCUUAACCCCGGGCCUGCAGUGGGUACGGGCAGACUAGAGUGCGGUAGGGGAGACUGGAAUUCCUGGUGUAGCGGUGAAAUGCGCAGAUAUCAGGAGGAACACCAAUAGCGAAGGCAGCUCGCUGGGACGUUACUGACACUGAGGCGCGAAAGCGUGGGGAGCGAACAGG
Molecule: ribosomal RNA, 253 nt
Filed under: uncultured bacterium
Lineage: Bacteria
Description: partial 16S ribosomal RNA
Rfam family: Bacterial small subunit ribosomal RNA
Source: RNAcentral